This is a long non-coding RNA of Mustela lutreola (European mink), 210 nucleotides long. RefSeq lists it as uncharacterized. NCBI's taxonomy places the organism in Eukaryota, Metazoa, Chordata, Mammalia, Carnivora, Mustelidae. The record is from RefSeq and is a predicted model, not a curated record. The transcript has 2 exons.
AAUGAAAACGGUAUUCGGUGAAACUGCCUCGUGGUACACAGGGACAUCCUUACCCGCAUGAUCUGCUCUGAUUUAGGGGAGAAGAGACAUGGUUUGUUGUGCAGGAUGGAGAGUGGUCACUGUGUGCCAGCUGGGUGGCCUUGCUUUGUUUCCAUCUGAGAGGAUAUUUCCUGUAUUGCACACCGUCAUGAAGAAAAAUUAGGAUCCAUC